Heterocephalus glaber (naked mole-rat) is the source of this 120-nucleotide small nuclear RNA. Its record names the gene U2. It matches the Rfam family "U2 spliceosomal RNA". Rfam says of the family: U2 is a small nuclear RNA (snRNA) component of the spliceosome (involved in pre-mRNA splicing). NCBI's taxonomy places the organism in Eukaryota, Metazoa, Chordata, Mammalia, Rodentia, Bathyergidae. The record is from Ensembl.
AUCGCUUCUCGGCUUUUUGGAUAAGAUCAUGUGUAGUAUCUGUGCACAUAUAAUUCUAAUGUUUUUUUAUGCAUCCAAAUUUUCUCUUCCUAUUACAAUAGAUUGAAUGGAGUAUCCCAG